This 52-nucleotide non-coding RNA is filed under the name unclassified sequences. Its description in RNAcentral is "nhaA-I". It matches the Rfam family "nhaA-I RNA". From Rfam's summary of the family: Acidobacteria, Alphaproteobacteria, Betaproteobacteria and Gammaproteobacteria, Verrucomicrobia, cand. division NC10. Downstream gene The record is from RNAcentral.
GGGUUCAGAGAACAUUCUCUGGAGGAAAAAGGAAAUUGGUCGGGCCGCCAUC